CAGACGUUACCGUGUGUGUGUGUGUGUGUGUGUGUGUGUGUGUGUGUGUGUGUGUGUGUGUGUGUGUGUGUGGAAUGAAGGAGAGCAGGGAGUGGUGGGCCUGUCUGCACAGAUUCUCCACCCACACGCAUUGACUAAGUCGGGACAUGCCGUACAUCCGCAGUGACGCAUGCCUCGGUCCCCCAACCUCCCUUUGAAGUACAAAAUCAAUAGAUCGUAGGAAUAGAAUGCCCCCUUUAUUGAACUGAUAUGAGACGCACAACAGAUUGUAAGGAUUAUUAAUAAUCUGUAUGAACGUGUUCGUCUCUCCGUCAGUUUCUGCUUCGUUGGAAACAAUUCAACAGUUUUUCAGAGCUCAAACGCUGUAUUUUACAGACCAUGUGAUGACAUCACUGUGAUGUCAUCACAUGGUGUGAGGGAAGCUUUGUUUGGAAAACUUCAGAGACAAACGCAGAGCAGGGUGAAGAUAUGACAGCAAAUAACAUUAUGGAUUUGACUAAAAAAAAUGUGCUACAGUGUAUGUUAUUAUUACACCAGCGGUUCUCAACAUACGGGUCACGACCCAUGUUUCCUAAUACUCUGCUCCCACACCCUCCCUUUCCCUCUCUCUGGCUGGUGUUAGGUUCCUGGGAGCUUGAGGAGGACAAACAAAGCGUGUGAAAGUGUGUUAAAGUGGAGGUGUGUCCUUGUGUGUCCGCGUGUGUGUCCGUGUGUGUGUGUGUGUGUGUGUGUGUGUGUGUGAAUGUGUGUGUGUGCGUGUGUGUGUGUGUUCGUGUGUGUGUGUCGAUACCUGCUGAAUAUAAAACACCUGCCAUUAUUCAUCACACACAAACACACACAGACGCACACGGGCUGAACUCAGAGUGAUGAAGAUGAGGACUUUACUGUGUCAAAUCCUUCUUGGACUUCUCACCGUGGUGGAAUCAACUACAAUUCAGACACUUGUGACUAAAACCCAGAACGAGGAUGACGACAUUCUCACCGAGGCCGUUAAAGACGGAUACAUCGUGCGUCAGACUCCACCCCCUUCACCCAAGUCUCCAACGUCAGCAUCUCCACCCCUCCCUCUGAUGAUGGAUCUGCUGAGUCAUGAAUCCAGCGGUGACUCAGAGUCUGGAUCAGGAAAUUUUUCACAGUUUGAGACAAAAAACACAGUUCCCAUCACAGUGAAAAAUCUUUUAGAAUCUGAGCUGGAAGGAUCGGGAUCAGAGACUGGAUCAGGAACCGGAUCAGAAAUCAGAUCAAAGACCAGAUCAGGAAUAUUGAGGAAGGACGAUACAGCCAAUCAGCCCCUACAGGGGGAAGGAGCUAAACCUGGAGGAAGUGAUGAAACCAGUGAGCAGCACAAAGGACACAGCACGCCAGACUGGAUCAUCAUCGUGGCUUUCAUCGUAGCCUUAGCGGCUCUGAUUUUGUUGUGCGUCGCCAUCGCCACCAGAGAAAAGUGGAACGGACCAGCACACGCUAAAAGAAGAGCUCCGGUCCAGCAGGGGGCGAGAGAGACGCACACGCUCCUCAACACAACGAAUCCUGUAGAAAACGGAAAAGACGAGGAAUACACGGUGAUUCCUCUGGAGGAACUUCCUCACAAAUAUUCACAAGUUUGACACGAAACCUGAGACUGAAGCAAAGAACUGAAAUAACGACACGGACGAGAGUUUAAGCAUUUUCUACAGAUUUAAUCAGCAUUGAUCAACCUGAUAAUGAAUAGUUUUAAUGUUUGUAAAUACACACAAUGCAUAAGAUCACAUGAUCACGUGAGCUCUGAUUGGAUUUAGUUCCACGUGACAAAACAAUAGCUAAGUUUUUAAUAGACAAUAUAGUUUUUGUUGACAUAUAUUUUUAAAAUUAGUCAUAGUCCUAUUAUUGUGACUUAAAAACAUGUAGUUGACUUAAAUUAUGACUAUUUUUGUCCAAAAAUUAACUGUGACUGAAAAUGUUUGUUUUUAUGCUGCAGCUUUAUUUUGAAGCCAUGAUUCUGCGCCUUUAUUUUGAAGCAACAAUCUUAAUUUUGUACUUUUAUUUUGAAGACACUGUCAUGAUUCUGCUCCUUUAUUUUGAAGCAAUAGCCUUAAUUAUGCACUUUUAUUCUGAAACAAUGUUUCUGCAUCUUUUAAUUCUGUGCCUUUAUUUUGAAGCCAUUAUCAUGAUUCUGCACUUUUAUUUUGAAGCCACUCUCAUGAUUUUGCACCUUUAUUUUGAAGCAACAGGUUUUAUUCUACGCCUUUACUUUUGAAACCUUGAUUCUGCAACUUUAUUUUGAAGCCAUGAUUCUGCAUUUUUUUAUUUUGAAGCAACAACCUUUAUUCUGCACCUUUAUUUUGAAGCCACUGUCAUGACUCUGGACCUUUAUUUUGAAGCCCCAGCCUUUAUUCUAUGCCUUUAUUUUGAAUCCACUUUAAUGAUGCUUCUCCUUUAUUUUGAAAACACUGUCAUGAUUCUGCACCUUUAAUUUGAAGCAACAGCCUUAAUUCUGCGCCUUUAUUUUGAAGCCCAAGCCUUCAUUUGCCUUUGUGCUUCCUGUGUAUUUCCUGCUUGUGUUUUUAGGCUGGGAGGAGCUUCCUGUGUGUCUCUGUUUGAAGUGUUUUCUUUUUGUAAUUUAUUUCAGGGGACGGACACACACACACACACACACACACACUUGUUGCUCAUCAAUAGUCAUUUAUUGGUUUCCUUUAAUAUUCACAGAUGUACAAGUAUUAAAAUAUUUACACACUUUCAGUCUUUUUUUUUGUGUUUGUGAGAGAUUUUAAAUGAUCACAUUUUACAAAUAUGGUAGAAUUCAGACAGAAACAACAUGUGAAACAGAAUGAGAAUAAAAACAAAGAACAAUAGAAAAUG
Gouania willdenowi (blunt-snouted clingfish) is the source of this 2841-nucleotide long non-coding RNA. Ensembl annotates it as CD44 antigen-like. The record is from Ensembl. NCBI's taxonomy places the organism in Eukaryota, Metazoa, Chordata, Actinopteri, Blenniiformes, Gobiesocidae.